GGUGGUUCAGUGGUAGAGCGCUUGCCUCCUAUGCAUGAGGCCCUGAGUUCGAUUCAGCACCA
This 62-nucleotide transfer RNA is filed under the name Dipodomys ordii (Ord's kangaroo rat). It matches the Rfam family "tRNA". From Rfam's summary of the family: Transfer RNA (tRNA) molecules are approximately 80 nucleotides in length. Their secondary structure includes four short double-helical elements and three loops (D, anti-codon, and T loops). Further hydrogen bonds mediate the characteristic L-shaped molecular structure. tRNAs have two regions of fundamental functional importance: the anti-codon, which is responsible for specific mRNA codon recognition, and the 3' end, to which the tRNAs corresponding amino acid is attached (by aminoacyl-tRNA synthetases). tRNAs cope with the degeneracy of the genetic code in two manners: having more than one tRNA (with a specific anti-codon) for a particular amino acid; and 'wobble' base-pairing, i.e. permitting non-standard base-pairing at the 3rd anti-codon position. Lineage: Eukaryota; Metazoa; Chordata; Mammalia; Rodentia; Heteromyidae. The record is from Rfam by way of RNAcentral.